Long non-coding RNA from Osmia bicornis bicornis, 1384 nucleotides. RefSeq lists it as uncharacterized. NCBI's taxonomy places the organism in Eukaryota, Metazoa, Arthropoda, Insecta, Hymenoptera, Megachilidae. The transcript has 7 exons. The record is from RefSeq and is a predicted model, not a curated record.
UGAUUACAAGCUUGCGGCUAAAUUCACAUGAUAUCACACACAUACAUACAAGCGAGGUUCGCAACACCUCCCCCCUUAUACAAAAGGUGUUUCCAAUGGGAACAGCUUUCCUUAAAGUGUUUACGCUAGCCUAAAUUACAUUGUUUGUACGGAAACUUCGCGUUGUCACACCCUUCUAUACAAGCGAUAUUUUUUACGUUGCAUGAAUCAUAUAAUAAUACGUUGUAGAUAUUAUAAGUUCUCAGGAUACAUAACUUAAACCCUAAAGUAAGAAUAGGUCAUUACAUUUUCUUGUGACUUUGAAUGGCCCUGCCAAAUUGCAAUCAAAUUUCAAGAUUUCUAGUUCUUUAGGUUUACUGCUGCUGCAGAUUGCGUGUUUCUAAUUCUGAAGAACAAAUCAUCCAAUUAACCUAAGAAAGUACGUGGAGGUUCCUGCUUAAAAAAAACUCAGAUGGAAUGGUGGCUUUCACACCGACUACCAAUUUGUGUGGGGUGAAACCAGUGGCUUCAUGUACUGAGAGUUUACGGGAGGCAAAUCGUUGGCGCCUACGACAUCCUCCCGCAACCCCCAAAAAGGAGAGGCGUCUGUGUCGUCUGUUUCAAUUUAAUUUGUCAGAGAACAAGAUUUUCCAUCAAACUGAGGUAUCAAAUCCUUCACUAAAGAGAGACGAAGAUAUGACUCUGGAAGCGUACUAGAUGACUCUAUAGAGGUUGGAGUAUUUUUAGAAACAGCAGCAGCAAACGUAGUCGAGGACAAAGAUCGGUAGAAGAUGCCCCGGAAGAUGAAGAAAAUUCUGCAUUUGAUGAAUCUAUGUUUAAUUCCUCUACCAAAAAUGUAUUUUCCCGCAGGCCGAUUUUGCGACUCCUUUUGGCGCGCAUAUACUUUAACUUAUACGGCGGCAUUUUGUCAAAUUAUUUCUAACGGUUUCACUUAACGAGUUUUCUAUUUUCAAACACCAAAUUCCGUCCGUCGGUAAUCCGUUAUCUCGGUUGGCCUUGAAUCACGGGGAGAUCCUCUGGUUCUGCGAUUUGAUGAUGAUCUCUGUUUCCAAGUCGAGGAGAGGUCCAAUGAUGAUGUGAACAAGGUGCAUGUGAUUUCGGUGGAUGGCUUGCACGGCAGCCGAAAUCACCUGUCUCCGGUAUUCACCCUACGCUCUUGAGGAAACCGUGCCAAAACUCAAGAGGAAGAAGUUGCACUAAUGUUAACAAUGUUCACUUAUAUUAUAAAAGCUGAAUGAAGCAGUCCGUAAAACGUUCAGUUAUUUAUUUAACACACGCCCGCGAGCCGGCAAAGUUAUUAAAGCGUACACAAGUCUAACACAGUCACUUUGUCUUGUUUUGCGUUAUUUACAGUUAUUACACUGAAUACACCUUUUUAAAAUUA